RNAcentral lists this unclassified non-coding RNA (246 nucleotides) under Hevea brasiliensis (rubber tree). Lineage: Eukaryota; Viridiplantae; Streptophyta; Magnoliopsida; Malpighiales; Euphorbiaceae. The record is from RNAcentral.
ACUGGUUGGCCCUCAAGGACUUCUGGUUCUUCUUUCUCCACAGGUUAACUGAUUUUCUUACUUCGUGAGGAGGCAGAAUCACAUUGAUCAAUUUUGUUAUGUGAGACUUCAUGGUUAUAAAUGUAAACAUGUGAGGACUGAUUUCAUUAUUUAACCAUCAGAUAUUGAUGGUUCUUAAUUGCAUAAACAUCAACAAUUAGAAUAUUUGAAAAAUAUUUCUUCAUAUAUAUAUUUUUGAGCUGAAUA